GCUGCUCUAAUAAUCACACACCUCUCCGCAGUGGGCAGCAGGCAACGAUCUUAUGGUCGGCGAAGAUGUGAGA
RNAcentral lists this ribozyme (73 nucleotides) under unclassified sequences. RNAcentral describes it as "HDV ribozyme from F. prausnitzii". It matches the Rfam family "HDV ribozyme from F. prausnitzii". The record is from RNAcentral.